CUUGCAGGUAGAGAUACGCUGUAUACCCAUGUAACCGAGUUGACGUUUAAGUGUUAUGUGAUAGCACCGGUCGUGGGGAACCGCCGGGAGGCGGCUUUUUUUGU
This 104-nucleotide small RNA is filed under the name Candidatus Merdisoma merdipullorum. RNAcentral's name for it is "DUF3800-I RNA". It matches the Rfam family "DUF3800-I RNA". Rfam says of the family: Actinobacteria, Firmicutes, Fusobacteria, Proteobacteria (1 example), Tenericutes (2 examples). Terminator (Clostridia) The record is from RNAcentral. Lineage: Bacteria; Bacillati; Bacillota; Clostridia; Lachnospirales; Lachnospiraceae. RNAcentral also lists the same sequence under 1 other name.